RNAcentral lists this ribosomal RNA (497 nucleotides) under uncultured bacterium. Its description in RNAcentral is "partial 16S ribosomal RNA". It matches the Rfam family "Bacterial small subunit ribosomal RNA", at positions 28 to 507 of the family's 1533-position model. The record is from RNAcentral.
GACGAACGCUGGCGGCGUGCCUAAUACAUGCAAGUUGAGCGCUGAAGGUUGGUACUUGUACCGACUGGAUGAGCAGCGAACGGGUGAGUAACGCGUGGGGAAUCUGCCUUUGAGCGGGGGACAACAUUUGGAAACGAAUGCUAAUACCGCAUAAAAACUUUAAACACAAGUUUUAAGUUUGAAAGAUGCAAUUGCAUCACUCAAAGAUGAUCCCGCGUUGUAUUAGCUAGUUGGUGAGGUAAAGGCUCACCAAGGCGAUGAUAGAUAGCCGACCUGAGAGGGUGAUCGGCCACAUUGGGACUGAGACACGGCCCAAACUCCUACGGGAGGCAGCAGUAGGGAAUCUUCGGCAAUGGACGAAAGUCUGACCGAGCAACGCCGCGUGAGUGAAGAAGGUUUUCGGAUCGUAAAACUCUGUUGGUAGAGAAGAACGUUGGUGAGAGUGGAAAGCUCAUCAAGUGACGGUAACUACCCAGAAAGGGACGGCUAACUACGUG